AGUGAACGCUGGCGGCGUGCUUAACACAUGCAAGUCGAACGAGAACGGAUUAUAGCUUGCUAUAAUUGUCAGCUAAGUGGCGCACGGGUGAGUAAUGUAUAGGUAAUAUGCCUCUUACUAAGGGAUAACAAAUGGAAACGUUUGCUAAUACCUUAUACUCCUUAUUAACAGAAGUUAAUAAGGGAAAGAUUUAUUGGUAAGAGAUUAGCCUGUAUUGUAUCAGUUAGUUGGUGGGGUAAUGGCUUACCAAGACUAUGACACAUAACUGGUUUGAGAGGAUGAUCAGUCACACUGGAACUGAGACACGGUCCAGACUCCUACGGGAGGCAGCAGUGGGGAAUAUUGGCACAAUGGACGAAAGUCUGAUGCAGCAACGCCGCGUGGACGGAUGACACAUUUCGGUGCGUAAACUCCUUUUA
RNAcentral lists this ribosomal RNA (419 nucleotides) under uncultured bacterium. RNAcentral describes it as "bacterial SSU rRNA". It matches the Rfam family "Bacterial small subunit ribosomal RNA", at positions 29 to 438 of the family's 1533-position model. The record is from RNAcentral.